This 45-nucleotide non-coding RNA is filed under the name Schistosoma curassoni. Lineage: Eukaryota; Metazoa; Platyhelminthes; Trematoda; Strigeidida; Schistosomatidae. The record is from RNAcentral.
AUCCAACUGACGAGUCCCAGAUAAGACGAAACACGCGUCUUGGAU